CCACCCGUUCCCAUUCCGAACACGGAAGUUAAGCCCUCCAGCGCCGAUGGUACUUGGGGCGGGAGCCCCCGGGAGAGUAGGACGCUGCCAGGC
This 93-nucleotide ribosomal RNA is filed under the name Planifilum fimeticola. The record is from RNAcentral. Lineage: Bacteria; Bacillati; Bacillota; Bacilli; Caryophanales; Thermoactinomycetaceae.